ACUCCCAGCACGGGGAGGUAGUGACAAAAAAUAACGAUAUGGGACUCAUCCGAGGCCCCAUAAUCGGAAUGAGUACACUUUAAAUCCUUUAACAAGGAUCUAUUGGAGGGCAAGUCUGGUGCCAGCAGCCGCGGUAAUUCCAGCUCCAAUAGCGUAUAUUAAAGUUGUUGCGGUUAAAAAGCUCGUAGUUGGUUCUGUGUGCCAUGCUGUCGGUUUAGCGCCUGCCGCUAUAACUGACAUGUUGUGGGGCGUCCUGUCGGUGGCAAUUAAAGGCCUUCGUUUGAUAGGAGUGAUCCUGUUAAUACGUAGGUUACUUUAAUUACCGAUUAAAUCCUGCCGCGGUGCUCUUCACUGAGUGUCGAGGUGGGCCGAUACGUUUACUUUGAACAAAUUAGAGUGCUUAAAGCAGGCAAAAGUCUGCCUGAAUAGUAGUGCAUGGAAUAAUAGAAUAUGACCUUGUUUCUAUUUUGUUGGUUUCCGGAGCACAAGGUAAUGAUCAAUAUGGACAGGCGGGGGCAUUUGUAUUGCGACGUUAGAGGUGAAAUUCUUGGAUCGUCGCAGGACAAACUAGAGCGAAAGCAUUUGCCAAGUAUGUCUUAAUUGAUCAAGAACGAAAGUUAGAGGCUCGAAGGCGAUCAGAUACCGCCCUAGUUCUAACCAUAAACGAUGUCAGCCAGCGAUCCGCCGAUGUUUUUUUCAUGACUCGGCAGGCAGCUUCCGGGAAACCAAAGCUUUUGGGUUCCGGGGGAAGUAUGGUUGCAAAGCUGAAACUUAAAGGAAUUGACGGAAGGGCACCACAAGGCGUGGGGCCUGCGGCUUAAUUUGACUCAACACGGGGAACCUCACCAGGCCCAGACAUUGGAAGGAUUGACAGAUUGAUAGCUCUUUCUUGAUUCAGUGGGUAGUGGUGC
Molecule: ribosomal RNA, 911 nt
Filed under: Luachimonannus sp. 2 AK-2020
Lineage: Eukaryota; Metazoa; Arthropoda; Insecta; Hemiptera; Schizopteridae
Description: SSU rRNA
Rfam family: Eukaryotic small subunit ribosomal RNA
Source: RNAcentral